Molecule: ribosomal RNA, 2387 nt
Filed under: Escherichia coli
Lineage: Bacteria; Pseudomonadati; Pseudomonadota; Gammaproteobacteria; Enterobacterales; Enterobacteriaceae
Description: bacterial LSU rRNA
Rfam family: Bacterial large subunit ribosomal RNA
Source: RNAcentral
CAUCCUCCAAGGCUAAAUACUCCUGACUGACCGAUAGUGAACCAGUACCGUGAGGGAAAGGCGAAAAGAACCCCGGCGAGGGGAGUGAAAAAGAACCUGAAACCGUGUACGUACAAGCAGUGGGAGCCUCUUAAUGGGGUGACUGCGUACCUUUUGUAUAAUGGGUCAGCGACUUAUAUUCUGUAGCAAGGUUAACCGAAUAGGGGAGCCGAAGGGAAACCGAGUCUUAACUGGGCGUUAAGUUGCAGGGUAUAGACCCGAAACCCGGUGAUCUAGCCAUGGGCAGGUUGAAGGUUGGGUAACACUAACUGGAGGACCGAACCGACUAAUGUUGAAAAAUUAGCGGAUGACUUGUGGCUGGGGGUGAAAGGCCAAUCAAACCGGGAGAUAGCUGGUUCUCCCCGAAAGCUAUUUAGGUAGCGCCUCGUGAAUUCAUCUCCGGGGGUAGAGCACUGUUUCGGCAAGGGGGUCAUCCCGACUUACCAACCCGAUGCAAACUGCGAAUACCGGAGAAUGUUAUCACGGGAGACACACGGCGGGUGCUAACGUCCGUCGUGAAGAGGGAAACAACCCAGACCGCCAGCUAAGGUCCCAAAGUCAUGGUUAAGUGGGAAACGAUGUGGGAAGGCCCAGACAGCCAGGAUGUUGGCUUAGAAGCAGCCAUCAUUUAAAGAAAGCGUAAUAGCUCACUGGUCGAGUCGGCCUGCGCGGAAGAUGUAACGGGGCUAAACCAUGCACCGAAGCUGCGGCAGCGACACUAUGUGUUGUUGGGUAGGGGAGCGUUCUGUAAGCCUGUGAAGGUGGCCUGUGAGGGUUGCUGGAGGUAUCAGAAGUGCGAAUGCUGACAUAAGUAACGAUAAAGCGGGUGAAAAGCCCGCUCGCCGGAAGACCAAGGGUUCCUGUCCAACGUUAAUCGGGGCAGGGUGAGUCGACCCCUAAGGCGAGGCCGAAAGGCGUAGUCGAUGGGAAACAGGUUAAUAUUCCUGUACUUGGUGUUACUGCGAAGGGGGGACGGAGAAGGCUAUGUUGGCCGGGCGACGGUUGUCCCGGUUUAAGCGUGUAGGCUGGUUUUCCAGGCAAAUCCGGAAAACCAAGGCUGAGGCGUGAUGACGAGGCACUACGGUGCUGAAGCGACAAAUGCCCUGCUUCCAGGAAAAGCCUCUAAGCAUCAGGUAACAUCAAAUCGUACCCCAAACCGACACAGGUGGUCAGGUAGAGAAUACCAAGGCGCUUGAGAGAACUCGGGUGAAGGAACUAGGCAAAAUGGUGCCGUAACUUCGGGAGAAGGCACGCUGAUAUGUAGGUGAAGCGACUUGCUCGUGGAGCUGAAAUCAGUCGAAGAUACCAGCUGGCUGCAACUGUUUAUUAAAAACACAGCACUGUGCAAACACGAAAGUGGACGUAUACGGUGUGACGCCUGCCCGGUGCCGGAAGGUUAAUUGAUGGGGUUAGCGGCAACGCGAAGCUCUUGAUCGAAGCCCCGGUAAACGGCGGCCGUAACUAUAACGGUCCUAAGGUAGCGAAAUUCCUUGUCGGGUAAGUUCCGACCUGCACGAAUGGCGUAAUGAUGGCCAGGCUGUCUCCACCCGAGACUCAGUGAAAUUGAACUCGCUGUGAAGAUGCAGUGUACCCGCGGCAAGACGGAAAGACCCCGUGAACCUUUACUAUAGCUUGACACUGAACAUUGAGCCUUGAUGUGUAGGAUAGGUGGGAGGCUUUGAAGUGUGGACGCCAGUCUGCAUGGAGCCGACCUUGAAAUACCACCCUUUAAUGUUUGAUGUUCUAACGUUGGCCCGUAAUCCGGGUUGCGGACAGUGUCUGGUGGGUAGUUUGACUGGGGCGGUCUCCUCCUAAAGAGUAACGGAGGAGCACGAAGGUUGGCUAAUCCUGGUCGGACAUCAGGAGGUUAGUGCAAUGGCAUAAGCCAGCUUGACUGCGAGCGUGACGGCGCGAGCAGGUGCGAAAGCAGGUCAUAGUGAUCCGGUGGUUCUGAAUGGAAGGGCCAUCGCUCAACGGAUAAAAGGUACUCCGGGGAUAACAGGCUGAUACCGCCCAAGAGUUCAUAUCGACGGCGGUGUUUGGCACCUCGAUGUCGGCUCAUCACAUCCUGGGGCUGAAGUAGGUCCCAAGGGUAUGGCUGUUCGCCAUUUAAAGUGGUACGCGAGCUGGGUUUAGAACGUCGUGAGACAGUUCGGUCCCUAUCUGCCGUGGGCGCUGGAGAACUGAGGGGGGCUGCUCCUAGUACGAGAGGACCGGAGUGGACGCAUCACUGGUGUUCGGGUUGUCAUGCCAAUGGCACUGCCCGGUAGCUAAAUGCGGAAGAGAUAAGUGCUGAAAGCAUCUAAGCACGAAACUUGCCCCGAGAUGAGUUCUCCCUGACUCCUUGA